Molecule: ribosomal RNA, 253 nt
Filed under: uncultured bacterium
Lineage: Bacteria
Description: partial 16S ribosomal RNA
Rfam family: Bacterial small subunit ribosomal RNA
Source: RNAcentral
UACGAAUGGGGCUAGCGUUGUUCGGAAUUACUGGGCGUAAAGCGUGCGCAGGCGGCGCGUUAAGACAGGUGUGAAAGCCCCGAGCUUAACUUGGGAAUUGCGCUUGUGACUGGCGUGCUGGAGUGUGGCAGAGGGAGGUGGAAUUCCACGUGUAGCAGUGAAAUGCGUAGAGAUGUGGAGGAACACCGAUGGCGAAGGCAGCCUCCUGGGCCAGCACUGACGCUCAUGCACGAAAGCGUGGGGAGCAAACAGG